RNAcentral lists this ribosomal RNA (253 nucleotides) under uncultured bacterium. RNAcentral's name for it is "partial 16S ribosomal RNA". It matches the Rfam family "Bacterial small subunit ribosomal RNA", at positions 524 to 776 of the family's 1533-position model. The record is from RNAcentral.
UACGUAGGGUGCAAGCGUUAUUCGGAUUCACUGGGCGUAAAGGGUGCGCAGGCGGCCAGGUGUGUUAGGCGUGAAAACUCGGGGCUUAACCCCGGGCCUGCAGUGGGUACGGGCAGACUAGAGUGCGGUAGGGGUGACUGGAAUUCCUGGUGUAGCGGUGGAAUGCGCAGAUAUCAGGAGGAACACCGAUGGCGAAGGCAGGUCACUGGGCCGCAACUGACGCUGAGGAGCGAAAGCAUGGGGAGCGAACAGG